This 498-nucleotide long non-coding RNA is filed under the name Cricetulus griseus (Chinese hamster). Its description in RNAcentral is "lncRNA (ENSCGRG00015037170.1)". The record is from RNAcentral. Lineage: Eukaryota; Metazoa; Chordata; Mammalia; Rodentia; Cricetidae.
CAGGAGCGAGGCGUGGGCGGAGCUACGGAGAGCAGGCGGAGGGAGAAGGGGCUUCUGGAAACAAAGCCCUGGGAACGGAUUGUAGGCGGUGCUGGAGAGCGUCCAAGGUCCGGCCCAGGGUCGUGGUGGGACCUGCGUUGGUUGGGACAGUGGCCUGUGGGAGGAGCCCGGGGAGUAAGCACGCCCUAAGGCUGGACCAAGAAAGAACUGCGUGCCAGCCAAGUUGUGAGAGGGCCCAGGAGAGCUCUCAGACCAGCUGCACCUGGCUAGGGGUUUCUCUGUGUAACAGCCCAGACAGUCCUGGAACUCGCCACCAUCGGCUUGCUUCAGCAGGAUUUUUAAAAGAACUUGGAAGAGCUCUCCUUGAAACAUGGCAAAGAAAGGGUUUGUGAGAUGGCUCAGCAAGGAAAGGUGGUUGCCUAGCAAGUCUGACUGUCUGAGUUCGAUCCCAGGAACUCAGAAACUAGAAAGUCAGAUGCCUGUCUCGUGACAAGGAAC